UACGUAGGGGGCAAGCGUUGUCCGGAUUUACUGGGCGUAAAGAGCGUGUAGGCGGCCAAGCAGGGCCGUUGUGAAAUCGCCCGGCUCAACUGGGCGGGGUCGGCGGAUACGGCCGGGCUGGAGCAAGCUAGGGGGUAAUGGAAUUCCCGGUGUAGUGGUGGAAUGCGUAGAUAUCGGGAGGAACACCAGUGGCGAAGGCGGUUACCUGGAGCUUUGCUGACGCUGAUGCGCGAAAGCGUGGGGAGCGAUCCGG
Molecule: ribosomal RNA, 253 nt
Filed under: uncultured bacterium
Lineage: Bacteria
Description: partial 16S ribosomal RNA
Rfam family: Bacterial small subunit ribosomal RNA
Source: RNAcentral